ACCUACGGGGCGCAGCAGUAGGGAAUUUUCGUCAAUGGGCGCAAGCCUGAACGAGCAAUGCCGCGUGAACGAGGAAGGUCUUCGGAUCGUAAAGUUCGGUUGAAGGGGAAAAAGAGCGGAGAGAGGAAAUGGUCUCCGAUUGAUAUUACCCUUCGGGGAAGUCACGGCUAACUACGUGCCAGCAGCCGCGGUAAUACGUAGGUGGCGAGCGUUAUCCGGAAUGAUUGGGCGUAAAGGGUGCGUAGGCGGCCUGCUAAGUCUGGGGUGAAAGGUACCGGCUCAACCGGUACAGGCUCUGGAAACUG
RNAcentral lists this ribosomal RNA (305 nucleotides) under uncultured bacterium. RNAcentral describes it as "bacterial SSU rRNA". It matches the Rfam family "Bacterial small subunit ribosomal RNA", at positions 337 to 635 of the family's 1533-position model. The record is from RNAcentral.